UCAUCAAAGCUGUGGACAAGAAGGC
This 25-nucleotide non-coding RNA is filed under the name Cricetulus griseus (Chinese hamster). Lineage: Eukaryota; Metazoa; Chordata; Mammalia; Rodentia; Cricetidae. The record is from RNAcentral. RNAcentral also lists the same sequence under 1 other name.